AAUAAUAAUCAACGACAACAACUCCAAACCCGACUGGCCCCCUCUUCUCAACUCAUCUCCCAUACCCGCAACAAAAACUUGACCCGACCUAAAAACACCCAUAUCCCUCAAUUCCGACCCGUCGACCCGAACAACAUCCAACAGCCGCGAAUUCCCUUAAACUUUCAACCUUAUUCGAUUUUCAAAUUUGAAAAUCAAAAUGGUAUUUACAUAGUACUAUUUCCAGCUCAUUCCUAUCCCCAUUUUUGGAGUUUUCUCUCAAAAUUCCCAAAACUCCCUUAAUGUUUCCCCCCAUAUUGGUGGAGCAGAAGUUACUCCCCAUUAUUAUUAUCUAUAAAUAGUUCAUUCUUGAGCUAAAAGAAGGGGGACUGGAGGGGUUGAAAAAAAUCUUUGAGCAAAAUCAACCCAUUUUUAGUAAAGAUUUUUUUUUUUAUAUAAAAUUGAUUGGCUAAUUGAAGUUUCUGAGUUGACGGUGAUAUUUUUUUUGUGGUGGUUGAUAUCGACAAAACUCGUAGUCUCAUUUUGCUGCCUUGAAAAAGGUGAACACGCCUCUCCCUUUUGUUUUUGUUUUUAUUACUGAUUUCUUCUUCAUCUCUUUCUCUGUAGCAAUAUUUGUUUAGUUGCAGGCGUGAAUGAGGCUGGGAUUGUUUGCUGUAGAGGCUUUGAUGGCCAUAGCAUUUGCUUGUGAUGACUAUCUUUAUGUCGUUAUUGCUUCGCAUUACUAUUUGUGAUGAUUCUUUAUUCAUUAUUUAGCUUUAUGUUGUUAUGUUAGGCUAUUGUUGUCAUAUAACUCAAAUGAUAGUUUGUUAUGUUUGUGGGUUGUAAUUUCACUUAGUUUUGUCAAUAUAGUGCAAAAUCUUUAUUUUUUAGUUCUAGUAUGUUGUUUGUGGCUUAAUCGUUGCUCGUUGUGGUUUCGAUUUUAUUGUUUUAAUUUAGAUUCAUUUUAGUUCUAUGGAAAAUUGCUUUACUUAUGCAAGUUUUCCUCUAUGAUGUAUAGUCGGAUCGCUCCUAAGUGUUCCUUGACCCUUAAUGUCAAUGAAAAAGAUGGAGUCGAUUUAUAAGUCAAAAAAUUUCAAUCCAAAGAUCCCUUUAUUUGUGGCUUAAUCAUUUCUUGUUGUGGUUUUGAUUUUGUUGUUUUAAUUCGAGUUAAUUUUAGUUCUUUGGAAAAUUGCUUUAGUUGUGCAAGUUUUCCUCUUUGAUGUAUAGUCGGAUCGCUCCUAAGUGUUCCUUGACCCUUAAUGUCAAUGGAAAAAAUGGAGUCGGUUUAUAAGCCCAAAAAUUUCAACCCAAAGAUUCCUUUAUUUGUGGCUUAAUCGUUGCUCGUUGUGAUUUCGAUUUUGUUGUUUUAAUUUGGGUUCAUUUUAGUUUUUUGAAAAAUUGCUUUAGUUGUGCAAGUUUUUCUCUUUUAUGUAUAGUUGGAUCGUCCCUAAGUGUUCCUUGACCCCUAAUGUCAAUGGAAAAGAUGGAAUCGGUUUAUAAGCCAAAAAAUUUAAAUACGAAGAUCCCUUUAUUUAUGGCUUAAUCGUUGCUCAUUGUGGUUUUGAUUUUAUUGUUUUAAUUCGGAUUCAUUUUAGAUCUUUGAAAAAUUGCUUUAGUUGUGCAAGUUUUCCUCUUUGAUGUAUAGUCGGAUCGCUCUUAAGUGUUCCUUGACCCUUAAUGUCAAUGGAAAUGAUGAAGUCGGUUUAUAAGCCAAAAAAUUUCAACCCAAAGAUUUCUUUAUUUGUGGCUUAACCGUUGCUCAUUGUGGUUUCGAUUUUGUUGUUUUAAUUCGGGUUCAUUUUAGUUCUUUGGAAAAUUGCUUUAGUUGUGCAAGUUUUCCUCUUCGAAAUCGCUCCUAAGUGUUCCUUGACCCUUAAUGUCAAUGAAAAAGAUGGAGCCGGUUUAUAAGCCAAAAAUUUCAACCCGAAGAUCCCUUUAUUUGUGGCUUAAUUGUUGCUCGUUGUGGUUUCGAUUUUGUUGUUUUAAUUCGGGUUCAUUUUAGUUCUUUGGAAAAAUGCUUUAGUUAUGCAAGUUGUCCUCUUUGAUGUAUAGUCGGAUCGCUCCUAAGUGUUCCUUGAUCCCUAAUGUCAAUGGAAAAGAUGGAGUCGGUUUACAAGUAAAAAAAUUUCAACCCGAAGAUCCCUUUAUUUGUGGCUUAAUCUUUGCUCGUUGUGGUUUUGAUUUUAUUGUUUUAAUUUGGGUUCAUUUUAGUGCUUUGGAAAAAUGCUUUAGUUGUGCAAGUUUUCCUCUUUGAUGCAUAGUUAGAUCGCUCCUAAGUAUUCCUUGACCCUUAAUGUCAAUGGAAAAGAUGGAGCCGGUUUAUAAGCCAAAAAAUUCCAACCCAAAGAUUCCUUUAUUUGUGGCUUAAUCGUUGCUCGUUAUGGUUUCGAUUUUGUUGUUUUAAUUUAGGUUCAUUUUAGUUCUUUGAAAAAUUGCUUUAGUUGUGCAAGUUUUCCUCUUUGAUGUAUAGUCGAAUCGCUCCUAAGUGUUCCUUGACCCUUAAUGUCAAUGGAAAAGAUGGAGUCAAUUUAUAAGCCAAAAAAUUCAAUCUGAAGAUCCCUUUGUUUGUGGCUUAAUCGUUGCUCGUUGUGGUUUUGUUUUUGUUGUUUCAAUUCGGGUUCAUUUUUAGUUCUUUGAAAAAUUUCUUUAGUUGGGCAAGUUUUCCUCUUUGAUGCAUAGUCGGACCGCUCCUAACCGUUCCUUGACCUUUAAUGUCAAUGAAAAAAGUGGAGUCGGUUUAGAGCUAAUCCUAAAGAUAAUUUUUCACUACCCAACAUCUACAUCCUCAUUGAUAAUUGUGCAUUUUUAGUGGAUUAUUUCGCUGGGUAUCAUUAGAUAUUAGUGGAUUAGGGAGAUACAGAAAAUAUGGUUUUCAUUAUGCCCUGGAGUGUUUAUCAUUACAGGGUGAUGCCGUUUGAUCUCAAGAAUGCUGGUUCGACAUACAUGAGGGCUAUGACAAUAAUUUUUCAUGAUAUGAUUCAUAAAGAGAUUGAGUUGUACGUGGAUGAUGUAAUCAUGAAAUCCCGCAAGAGUUCAGACCAUCUGACCCAUCUGGAAAAGCUCUUCAACAGACUAAGAAAGUACAACUUGAAGUUGAAUCCCGCUAAAAAAGCUUUUGGUGUGCCAUUUGGGAAAUUAUUGGGGUUUAUAGUCAGCAGAAGGAGCAUCAAGCUAGACCCAUCUAAUAUUAAGAUAAUUCAGGAUUUACCAUAGCCAAGAAUGGAAAAAGAGGUUAUGAUUUUCUUAGGUCCUUUGAAUUACAUUAGCUGGUUCAUUGCCCAAUCAACAGUUAUAUGCUAGCCAAUUCUGAUGAUGUUGAAGAAAGAUGCAGUGAAUGAAUGGGCAAAAGAAUGUUAAUAACUUUUGACAGAAUUAAGGAAUAUCCAUCUGCUCCGCUUGUUUUGGUUCCACCGAAGGAAGAAAGUCUGUUGUUGCUUUACCUUUCAGUCUCAGACAAUUCUUUCAAAUGUGUCCUUGGGCAACAUGAUGAGAUUGGUAAGAAAGAGAGAACAAUCUUCUACUUGAGCAAAAAGUUUAUGCCACAUGAGGCUCGCUACACUCUUGUAGAAAGAACAUGUUGUGCUUUGACCUGGGCCGCACAAAAGUUGAGGCAUUAUCUAUCCGCGUACACAACAUAUAUCAUUUUCAAAAUGGAUCCAUUGAAGUAUAUAUUUUAGAAAACCAUGCCUAUAGGAAAGUUAUCCAAGUUGCAAAUAUUGCUGAGUGAGUUCGACAUUGUGUAUGUGACUCAAAAAGCAAUCAAGGGGCAAUCCUUAGCGGAUCAUUUAGCUGAGAAUUUGGUUGAUAAUGAGUACGAGCCACUUCAAACUUACUUCCCAAAUAAGGAAAUUUUAUUCGUGGGAGAAGACAUUGCAGAAAUCUACGCCGGAUCGAGAUUGUUCUUUGAUAGAGCUUUCAACUUCAAAGGCUUAAGAAUCGGAGCAGUUUUGGUGUCAGAAACAGGCCAACACUAUCCAACAACCACUAAAUUGUGCUUCUCGUGAAUCAAUAACAUGGUUGAAUAUGAGGGUUGCAUCCUAGGUCUCAAGUUGGCACUUGAUAUGGGAGUUCAUGAAUUGCUAGUCAUCGGAGACUCAGAUUUGUCGAUUCACCAGGUAUGGAGGGAAUGGGCAGUAAAGAACUCCAAGAUUACUCUUUAUGUAGAGCUGGUGCAGGAUUUGUGUGGAAGAUUCAAGAAAGUUGAUUUCAGACAUAUCCCGAGGAUACAAAAUGAUUUUGCUGAUACUUUGGCUACUGUAUCCUCUAUGAUUCAGCACUCAGAUCAGAGUUACAUUGAUCUUUAAGAAAUAAGCUUGAAGGAACAAUCCGUACAUUGUGCGCACGUCGAAGAGGACCUUCACGAAAAGCCAUGGUACUAUGAUAUCAAGGUAUUUAGAGUCUGGAAUAUAUCCUGAAAAGUCCAGCAACAAUCAAAAGAAGACCAUCCAGCCUUUGGCGAUGAAUUAUUUUCUAAAUGAGGAAAUACUUUUUAGGAGAACUCCAAACUUAGGAUUCUUAAGAUGUGUCGAUGCCAUGGAAGCCAUGAAAUUAAUAAAGGAAGUACACACCGGAGUCUACAGGCCCCACAUGAAUGGGUUUUCCCUUGACAGAAAGAUCCUGAGAACUGGUUACUUCUGGAUGACUAUGGAAAAUGAUUGUAGCAAGUAUGUGCAGAAGUGCCCAAAAUGCCAUAUACACGGAGAUUUGAUUCGAAUGCCUCCACAUGAGCUUUAUGCGAUGAGUUUACCUUGGCCUUUCGUAGCUUGGGGUAUGGAUGUUAUCGGACCAAUAGAGCCACCAACGUCAAAUGGGCAUAGAUUCAUUUUGGUUGCUAUUGAUUACUUCACUAAGUGGGUCAAAGAUGUUUCAUAUAAAGCCAUCACCAAGAAGGUGUUUGUGGAUUUUAUCAAGAAUAACUUGAUUUGCCGAUUUGGAGUGCCAAAAUCAAUCAUUGAUGAUAAUGGGGAUAACUUGAACAUUCACUUGAUGAAUAAGAUUUGUGAUCAGUUCAAGAUUGUUCAUCACAACUCGACCGCAUAUCGUCCACAGAUGAAUGGAGCUGUGGAAGUUGCCAAUAAGAACAUCAAGAAGAUAUUGAGGAAGAUGGUUGAAAAUGAUAGAUCAUGGCAUGAGGUGUUUCCUUAUGCUCUGCUAGGGUAUCGCACGAUAAUUCAAACCUCAAUUGGGGCUACCCCUUAUCUACUUGUGUAUAGGAAUGAAGUCGUGAUACCUGUCGAGGUUGAAAUACCUUUCUUAAGGAUUAUUCAAGAAGCCAGAUUAAGUAAUGAAGAAUGGAUUCACGCUCGCUAUGAAUAACUCAUAUUGAUUGAUGAGAAGAGAAUAGUUGUCGUGUGUCAUGGUCAGUUGUAUCAACACAGAAUGAUCCAUUCCUUCAACAAGAAAGUAAGAAAUCAAAAAUUUGAAGUUGGGAAAUUAGUUCCCAAACGCAUAUUUACUCACCAAGAAGAGUACAAAGGCAAGUUCACUCUAAAUUAUCAAGGACCAUACAUAGUUCGCAAGGUACUANNNNNNNNNNNNNNNNNNNNNNNNNNNNNNNNNNNNNNNNNNNNNNNNNNNNNNNNNNNNNNNNNNNNNNNNNNNNNNNNNNNNNNNNNNNNNNNNNNNNNNNNNNNNNNNNNNNNNNNNNNNNNNNNNNNNNNNNNNNNNNNNNNNNNNNNNNNNNNNNNNNNNNNNNNNNNNNNNNNNNNNNNNNNNNNNNNNNNNNNNNNNNNNNNNNNNNNNNNNNNNNNNNNNNNNNNNNNNNNNNNUGAGUUCGACAUUGUGUAUGUGACUCAAAAAGCAAUCAAGGGGCAAUCCUUAGCGGAUCAUUUAGCUGAGAAUUUGGUUGAUAAUGAGUACGAGCCACUUCAAACUUACUUCCCAAAUAAGGAAAUUUUAUUCGUGGGAGAAGACAUUGCAGAAAUCUACGCCGGAUCGAGAUUGUUCUUUGAUAGAGCUUUCAACUUCAAAGGCUUAAGAAUCGGAGCAGUUUUGGUGUCAGAAACAGGCCAACACUAUCCAACAACCACUAAAUUGUGCUUCUCGUGAAUCAAUAACAUGGUUGAAUAUGAGGGUUGCAUCCUAGGUCUCAAGUUGGCACUUGAUAUGGGAGUUCAUGAAUUGCUAGUCAUCGGAGACUCAGAUUUGUCGAUUCACCAGGUAUGGAGGGAAUGGGCAGUAAAGAACUCCAAGAUUACUCUUUAUGUAGAGCUGGUGCAGGAUUUGUGUGGAAGAUUCAAGAAAGUUGAUUUCAGACAUAUCCCGAGGAUACAAAAUGAUUUUGCUGAUACUUUGGCUCCUGUAUCCUCUAUGAUUCAGCACUCAGAUCAGAGUUACAUUGAUCUUUAAGAAAUAAGCUUGAAGGAACAAUCCGUACAUUGUGCGCACGUCGAAGAGGACCUUCACGAAAAGCCAUGGUACUAUGAUAUCAAGGUAUUUAGAGUCUGGAAUAUAUCCUGAAAAGUCCAGCAACAAUCAAAAGAAGACCAUCCAGCCUUUGGCGAUGAAUUAUUUUCUAAAUGAGGAAAUACUUUUUAGGAGAACUCCAAACUUAGGAUUCUUAAGAUGUGUCGAUGCCAUGGAAGCCAUGAAAUUAAUAAAGGAAGUACACACCGGAGUCUACAGGCCCCACAUGAAUGGGUUUUCCCUUGACAGAAAGAUCCUGAGAACUGGUUACUUCUGGAUGACUAUGGAAAAUGAUUGUAGCAAGUAUGUGCAGAAGUGCCCAAAAUGCCAUAUACACGGAGAUUUGAUUCGAAUGCCUCCACAUGAGCUUUAUGCGAUGAGUUUACCUUGGCCUUUCGUAGCUUGGGGUAUGGAUGUUAUCGGACCAAUAGAGCCACCAACGUCAAAUGGGCAUAGAUUCAUUUUGGUUGCUAUUGAUUACUUCACUAAGUGGGUCAAAGAUGUUUCAUAUAAAGCCAUCACCAAGAAGGUGUUUGUGGAUUUUAUCAAGAAUAACUUGAUUUGCCGAUUUGGAGUGCCAAAAUCAAUCAUUGAUGAUAAUGGGGAUAACUUGAACAUUCACUUGAUGAAUAAGAUUUGUGAUCAGUUCAAGAUUGUUCAUCACAACUCGACCGCAUAUCGUCCACAGAUGAAUGGAGCUGUGGAAGUUGCCAAUAAGAACAUCAAGAAGAUAUUGAGGAAGAUGGUUGAAAAUGAUAGAUCAUGGCAUGAGGUGUUUCCUUAUGCUCUGCUAGGGUAUCGCACGAUAAUUCAAACCUCAAUUGGGGCUACCCCUUAUCUACUUGUGUAUAGGAAUGAAGUCGUGAUACCUGUCGAGGUUGAAAUACCUUUCUUAAGGAUUAUUCAAGAAGCCAGAUUAAGUAAUGAAGAAUGGAUUCACGCUCGCUAUGAAUAACUCAUAUUGAUUGAUGAGAAGAGAAUAGUUGUCGUGUGUCAUGGUCAGUUGUAUCAACACAGAAUGAUCCAUUCCUUCAACAAGAAAGUAAGAAAUCAAAAAUUUGAAGUUGGGAAAUUAGUUCCCAAACGCAUAUUUACUCACCAAGAAGAGUACAAAGGCAAGUUCACUCUAAAUUAUCAAGGACCAUACAUAGUUCGCAAGGUACUAUCCGGAGGAGCUCUGAUUUUAUCUGAGAUGGAUAGUCAAAAGUGGACCAAACCAAUCAAUUUUGAUGCGGUAAAAAGAUACUAUGUUUGAAGGAUGUUUUGGUUUCUUAUUUCCUUGGUUUAUUUGUAAUCGCCUUUAUGAUAGUAUUUGUUUUAUGAUGUAUAAUUUCCUAGAAUCCCUUUUCUUUUAUGUACGAACUAUGUUUGACUUAAAUUCUCAAGAAAGGGAUAUGCGGCAGCCUAUGUUGGCUUCGUUCAACCCAUUAGAUUUUUAUAUAUAUCCUUAGCAUAUUCCUGAACUAUAUUUGGCCUGAUUCCUGCUUCAAUGAGAUACGUAGGCGCCCCAACGACUCGAUCAUAUAACCCCAGAAAAUUAAAACUGGGGCAGAAUUUUCGAGAAGGGAUCUAAAAAAUUCACAAGAGAAAGAUCAUCAUCCAAUAAAGAGAAUGAAGACCAACAAAGAUUUCGGAUCCUCUCAAGCUGAGAUCAUCUCAAACAACAUUAAACUGGGGUAGAAGUUUUGAGGAAGGCCUCAAAAUUUUCACUAAAUACUGCAAUAUAUUUCAAAUUCCUCAGCACCAGAGGUCAAAGUCAAGCCUUGGAAGUCACCAACUGCGAUAAAGUCUAGGUAGACUAAAUCGUGGGCUAUGACAAAACUUUUGAUAGAAAGCCUCAACGACAAUGAACCCUUGGCAAUCUUCUGUCAAACGUCAGAUAUAGUCAGAACCAAGAGGAAAACGUUCGUUGAGCUAGUACAUGACAUGACUGACAGAGAUUUUCUAAAGCUUUUACAGAAUAUUUUAAAACUAGUUUCUAAAAAUUAAGACUACUUUAAAAAAUCAAUACAAAUAUUUUACUUGGUGAUUGCCUAGUCAUCUAUUGGAACGGGGAGCCGGAGUGGAAGUCCCAAUAUGACGAAGCACCCGAAAGAAGGCGAAGAGCAAACCAAGGAUCGAAGAAGGUCAACACUGAGUAGUUUCACUCAAAAACUAAUAUUUUUUUUCUGUGGAUGCAGGGAUCAAUACACAAAAAUGAGAAUCUUUUUCAAAAAUCCUCAAGCGGGUUGGGAGCCAGACCAUGCCCAAGAAUGGUACAGUCAAAGGAGACGAACCUAUAAGGCCACAAUCAAAGGAUCAUUUAAGAGAAGGAAGAACAAAAAGUCAUCCCCAUAUUUGCCAUGGGGUGACGCAAACGGUAUUUGAGAAGUCCUU
Molecule: long non-coding RNA, 8760 nt
Filed under: Capsicum annuum
Lineage: Eukaryota; Viridiplantae; Streptophyta; Magnoliopsida; Solanales; Solanaceae
Description: long non-coding RNA (CANN_LNC006427)
Source: RNAcentral